GACGAACCGUACGAACGUUAUUCGGAAUUACUGGGCUUAAAGGGUGCGUAGGCUGCGCGGAAAGUUGGGUGUGAAAUCCCUCGGCUCAACCGAGGAACUGCGCCCAAAACUACCGUGCUCGAGGGAGACAGAGGUGAGCGGAACUUAGGGUGGAGCGGUGAAAUGCGUUGAUAUCCUAAGGAACACCCGUGGCGAAAGCGGCUCACUGGGUCUCUUCUGACGCUGAGGCACGAAAGCUAGGGUAGCGAACGGGG
RNAcentral lists this ribosomal RNA (254 nucleotides) under uncultured bacterium. Its description in RNAcentral is "partial 16S ribosomal RNA". It matches the Rfam family "Bacterial small subunit ribosomal RNA", at positions 524 to 777 of the family's 1533-position model. The record is from RNAcentral.